Molecule: long non-coding RNA, 2667 nt
Organism: Heterocephalus glaber (naked mole-rat)
Lineage: Eukaryota; Metazoa; Chordata; Mammalia; Rodentia; Bathyergidae
Source: Ensembl
GGAAAACUUGUUAUGGCUUGCGUUUAGAUGUUCCCCCAAAGCUUCAUGCUUUCUCAGAGGUAGCUGGAUCUAGAGUGUCUGAUGCUGGAAUUGAUUCAUGAUGCAAUGCUAGACUCAAGGGCACUAGGAUUAAGGCUGUGAGUGCUACCCACUCUAAGUAGCCUACAUAAAGAAUAAAAGGGGCAGAAAGAAGCUGUUAAGUUUCCCUUGUUGCUGUUGGUGUCUUCUGCUGCCAUGAACUAUUGCUCCUCUGCCAUGCCACUCUGCCUUGGAGCCAGCUGAUUAUGGACUGAAACCUCUACAAACUCUGAGCAGAGAGCGGUCUGCAGGAAGGAAGCCAUUACCCUCUGGACAGAGCCUUGCAGCAAAGCUCAAGACAAAGGCCCAGGCCAAGUUUAGAGGCAGAUCUAAGAAAACAGGCCCACACUCACUGGAUGGCCCGAACUAUAAACUGCCUCAGUGGUCUUGGAAGCCAUCUAGUAAAAUUAACAGGAGCUAUAAGACUGGCCAUACCCAUUGACUCAGGGCCUUCACCUUUGGGACAUUUCUGCCAGGAAAAAAAGACAACAGAGAAGACCAUCAAACGUCUUUUGCUGCCAGGCAUGGUGGCACAGACCUGUAAUCUCAGCACUCAGGAGGCUGAAGCAGGAGGAUUGCUGGGAAUUCAAGGCUAGCCUAGUCUAUAUAGUGAGUUCAAGGCCACCCUGAACUACAUAGGAAGAAUUUGCCUCAAAAAUAAAUAAAUCAAUAAAUAAAGUCCUUUGCAAGGCCUUGUGUAUCAUAUGUAAAAAGUUUAAAACAAUUUUAAGAUAUAGCACUGCUCCGAGUGCAGAGGAGGUGAGCCACGUGGUUGCCAGCAGCAUCUUCUCCCCAGCCCCAUAAAAAUGAGAAGACACAUAAACAAGGCUCAAAAACAGACUUUCAGAUCGCCUGAAGCAACCCCAAAGGGAAAUGAGAUGGAACGCUCUGAUACUCAACCACCUGGACUCCAUGAACUGACAACAAAAGAGGAUCUGGAAAAAAUGAAAUCAGAAAUAAUUUCUCAGAUAACAGCAGAGAUUGUGCCCAUAGUGCAAGAUAUGAUUAAUAAAUCUAGAGAGGACGCAGAUUAAAAAAAAUAGAGGAGCUGAGGAACAGGAUGGAAUCCCAACAUAGGAAACAAAUGGAAUCCAUAAAACAGAUAUGAACAGAUUUCCAGGAGAUUAAAAACUCCAUUGAAAGUUUACGCAGCAGAAUGAGCCAAUGUGAGGACAGAAUUUCAGAUACAGAAGAUAAGACUGCAAUUGGUGACAAGGCAAAGAAAAAUUUCUUUAAAAUUGUAAAGAACCAUGUGAAAUCAAUCCAGCAGCUGCUAGACGAUGCAAAGAAGAAUAACAUAAGACUGAUUGGAGUCAAUGAAGAAACAGGAGAGUGUCCAGAUGACAUAAAAAAACUUUUCACAGAAGUGAUGGCAGAAAACAUCCCAAGGAGGGGAAAAGAACUUGACAUACAGAUAAGUGAGGCAUAUAGGAUUCCAACUAGCCUUGAUCAAAAAAAUCUACACAUAGGCAUAUAAUAGUUAGGAUUCCAGAAAUCCAACAGAAGAACAAAAUUCUACAAGCAGGAGAGAAAAGAAACAAAUCACAUACAAAGGGAAGGAAAGCCCAUCAGAAUCACAGCAAACUUCUCAGUGCAAACCCUCAAGGCAAGAAGAGCUUGGAGUGAUGUAUUUCAAGGUCUAAAGGAAAACAGCCUCCAACCCAGACUGAUGUACCCUGCAAAACUAUCUUUCAAAAUUGAUGGAGAAAUAAGAUACUUUCAUGAAAAAGAGCACCUUAGGAACUUCAUGAAUACGAAACCAGCACUCCAAAAAAUUUUAGACAAUAUCCUAGGAAAAGACAAUGAGGAUCACAACCCCAGGAAACCCAGCAGAAUGAAUCCAUUGGGGGCACAAGAAAUUAAAUGGAAAGGGGGAGAAUCCAACAAACAGAAAAAGUCAUGACAAUGAUAAGUCAGUAUGCACCCAUUAUAACCAUCAAUGUUAAUGGUCUCAAUUCAACAUUCAAAAGAAAUAGACUGGCAGAAUGGGUCAAGAAGCAAGAUCCAACAAUACGCUGCAUACAAGAAACACACUUAAUUCAAAAAGAAACUUAUAGACUGAAAGUUAAAGGGUAGAAAACAAUACUCCAUGUGACAGGAACCCGAAAAAAAGCAGGAGUAGCUAUUCUCCUUGCAGAGCAAGUGGAUUUCAAACUAAAACCUGAAACACUUCUGGUCCCAAGAAUUUCAGAUAAGGGAUAGUUAACUCAUAUGUACAAAUCUAUUGUGAACAUGUGUUUUCAUUCCUCUUAAGUAAAAUCUUAAGAACAGAAAUGUUGGUUCUUAACAGUAAUACAAGUAAUUUCUGUAUUGUUUUCCAAAAUAGUUUUAUCAUCUUAACAUUCACAUUAGCAGUAUUCAAAAGUUCUAACUGGUUCACACCUAAACUGACAUCUGUUCUUUUAAAACUUUUAACUUCAUCUCCCUAAUGAGUGUAUAAUAUGACCUUGUUAUUGUACUGAUUAGUAUUUUUCUGAUUCUAGUGUUGCACACCUUUCCUUGUGCUGUACUAGCUAUUUAUCAUCUUCUUGUGUUUACUUUUUGAUUAGGUUGUCUAUUAAUGAGCUGUAAGAGUUCUCUUUACAUAUU